GACGAACGCUGGCGGCGUGCUUAACACAUGCAAGUCGAACGGAAAGGCCUCUUUCGGGGGGUACUCGAGUGGCGAACGGGUGAGUAACACGUGAGUAACCUGCCCUUGACUUUGGGAUAACUUCAGGAAACUGGGGCUAAUACCGGAUAGGAGCUCCUGCUGCAUGGUGGGGGUUGGAAAGUUUCGGCGGUUGGGGUUGGACUCGCGGCUUAUCAGCUUGUUGGUGGGGUAGUGGCUUACCAAGGCUUUGACGGGUAGCCGGCCUGAGAGGGUGACCGGCCACAUUGGGACUGAGAUACGGCCCAGACUCCUACGGGAGGCAGCAGUGGGGAAUAUUGCACAGUGGGUGGAAGCCUGAUGCAGCAACGCCGUGUGCGGGAUGACGGCCUUCGGGUUGUAAACCGCUUUCGCUCAUGACGAAGCUUUGUGUGACGGUAGUGGGUAAAGAAGCACCGGCUAACUACGUG
Molecule: ribosomal RNA, 467 nt
Filed under: uncultured bacterium
Lineage: Bacteria
Description: partial 16S ribosomal RNA
Rfam family: Bacterial small subunit ribosomal RNA
Source: RNAcentral